CCUACGGGAGGCAGCAGUGGGGGAUAUUGCACAAUGGGGGGAACCCUGAUGCAGCGACGCCGCGUGGGUGAAGAAGCGCCUCGGCGCGUAAAGCCCUGUCAGCAGGGAAGAAAAUGACGGUACCUGAAGAAGAAGCACCGGCUAACUACGAGCCAGCAGCCGCGGUAAUACGUAGGGGGCAAGCGUUAUCCGGAUUAACUGGGUGUUAAGGGGGCGCAGACGGCGAUGCAAGCCAGGAGUGAAAGCCCGGGGCCCAACCCCGGGACUGCGCUUGGAACUGGGUGGCUGGAGAGCAGGAGGGGCAGGCGGAAUGCGUGGUGUAGCGGUGAAAUGCGUAGAUAUUAGGAGGAACACCGGUGGCGAAGGCGGCCUGCUGGACUGCAACUGACGUUGAGGCCCGAAAGCGUGGGGAGCAAACAGGAUUAGAUACCCCUGUAGUC
This 440-nucleotide ribosomal RNA is filed under the name uncultured bacterium. Its description in RNAcentral is "partial 16S ribosomal RNA". It matches the Rfam family "Bacterial small subunit ribosomal RNA", at positions 338 to 795 of the family's 1533-position model. The record is from RNAcentral.